This 510-nucleotide ribosomal RNA is filed under the name uncultured Alkalibacterium sp. RNAcentral describes it as "bacterial SSU rRNA". It matches the Rfam family "Bacterial small subunit ribosomal RNA", at positions 8 to 499 of the family's 1533-position model. Lineage: Bacteria; Bacillati; Bacillota; Bacilli; Lactobacillales; Carnobacteriaceae. The record is from RNAcentral.
AGGCUUUGAUCCUGGCUCAGGACGAACGCUGGCGGCAUGCCUAAUACAUGCAAGUCGAACGCCGACGCACUCUGCUUGCAGAGUGUUGAGGAGUGGCGAACGGGUGAGUAACACGUGGAGAACCUGCCCAUAAGAGGGGGAUAACAUCCGGAAACGGGUGCUAAUACCGCAUAGGUGGCUGGAGCGCAUGCUCUAGUCAUGAAAGACGGCUUCGGCUGUCGCUUAUGGAUGGCUCCGCGGCGUAUUAGCUAGUUGGUGAGGUAAUGGCUCACCAAGGCAGUGAUACGUAGCCGACCUGAGAGGGUGAUCGGCCACACUGGGACUGAGACACGGCCCAGACUCCUACGGGAGGCAGCAGUAGGGAAUCUUCCACAAUGGGCGAAAGCCUGAUGGAGCAAUGCCGCGUGAGUGAAGAAGGUUUUCGGAUCGUAAAGCUCUGUUGUUAGAGAAGAACAAGAGGUGUAGUAACUGGCACCUCCUUGACGGUAUCUUACCAGAAAGUCACGGCUA